RNAcentral lists this long non-coding RNA (2085 nucleotides) under Equus asinus (donkey). RNAcentral describes it as "lncRNA (ENSEASG00005030044.1)". The record is from RNAcentral. Lineage: Eukaryota; Metazoa; Chordata; Mammalia; Perissodactyla; Equidae.
GCAUCAUGAUUGAGGUUGAAAUGAGUUCAUCUAUGAAAAUGUGAGAAAGGAGUUUCCUCCUGGUUGGUUAAUCCUUCUUAAGCUUUUGUUGGCAAACCACUUUCUGGAGCUUCCACUUUCCCAGACCACAGGAUGGGGUGGGCUAGAGAGGAGCUUGGAGUCUGGCUGGACAGUCCCAGCAGUAACCCUAGGACCAAGGAGGCAGCUGAGAUCCCAGGUUGCCUCCACCAUUGCUUCCCUCUGUGCCCUCGUCUUUAAGGAACACUACUAGUCUAGGUCAGCCUCCUCUGAUACGGGGAGUAGGGGAGGGGAGACCCUGGCUGUGGGAAGGGACAGCAGGACCCUAAGUCCUCCAGAGUGCCCUUCCCCUUGAGAUUUGCCACAAGUGACUUUUGCCACCUUUUCCCUGGUCUCCGGGGCCCUGCAUCCUUUAACACCCUGGUCAGGAUUCCCUUCAUCCCCAAAGAUCCUCUGAGGCCACGACAUAAGGUCCAAAAAGCCAUCUGAGGCUACACAAGGCAACUAGCAGACACAAGGUAACUGGCAUCUCAGGAAUCUGGGUUUAGCAACAGGUAUGCUCUGGGCCCGUGCCAGUCCUGCGUCAUGGCACCCCCUGCAGGGCAAGCCGAAGCCUGCCAGGCCUGGCCAGCCUAUCUGUCUCCCGCCAUCCCUCCUCCUGGCUCAUGUUGGAGGCAAAGCAAGCCGUAGGAGUUAGCAGAUGGGUACAUGCCACUUGGCUCGUCCGAGGAUUGCUGUCCCUUUCCCACAGUGGCAGAUGUCCGAGCCAGGUCCAUCCUGCUAGACCCGGUCUGUUCAGUUUUGCCUCCGUCAGUGACCCCAUUCACUCAGUGCUUCCUCUGGUAAAAGUGAUCUAAAUGGUUCUGGAUCUCCUUCCCAUUCACAGUAGGCCCUUGCGGGAGGGUGUCCCAGCUGCUCUCAUUUAAGGGGCUUCACUUCCUAGGCUCUUGGUGGGCCUGAGUCUGCCCCUGCAGUCAUACCCCUUUUGAACAGUCAGGCUUUUCCACACAGGCUGUUUUUCUAGGGUCCUCUUCUAAAGCCAGGUCCUACCGCACUGUAGCCCUCUGCGGGGUCUGACGUUCCACUCAUGGCUCUCCACUCUACGCAGCCCUGGCCUUCCGCUGAAAUGCUCCCCACUGCUGUUCUCCUCAGCCGUGCAGCCAGCCACUUCCGGCCCCCACAAACUACACCUUCCUCUCUCCUUGGAAUCGGGAGGGAGGGCUCCCCGUCCCAACCCUCUGUCGGAGCCCUGGCCCCUCCCUUUCAGGUGGGUUAGGCCAGAGCUCUGAAUAACUGGAACGCUGGCCUCCCCAGGGUGCCCUGUCACCUGCAUCUUCCUCCCUCUUUGGAAGCUGGAAAUGGGCAGGAGCCAGGUUUUCUGCCAUCGCAUGCGCUCUUCUGCCAGGACAUGGGUGAAUCCUACAGUCCCUGCUUUUGUGGACCGGGGACCAAGUAGCCUUCCCCCUUGGCCCUGGAUUCAGCUGGCAUAACCAGCCGAGCAGCUGUCUUCUCCUCUUCCGAGGUGGGCUGUACUGAGGGAUUUAGCUACUCCAUCCCGUCUGUUUGCCAGAGUGUUGGUGGGCCCUGUGUCCUUCCUGCACACGGGCCAAGGACCUGAGGACACACUUCUCUCUCAGAGGCCUGUGGGAGGUGUAGCCCCUCAUAGAGGGCGGAUUAUUUAUUUUAUUGAUUGAUUGAUUUUGGCACCCCUCCCCCCGAGCACACAGACAAUCUAUCUUUGCUCAAACAACUAUUCUAUUAAUAGUGUGCUUGGGGCAGACUAUCACCCAUUCUGCUUUUAAAAAUACUCCUUUAGGGGCCGGCCCAGUGGCGCAGAGGUUGAGUUCGCACAUUCUGCUUCGGCAGCCUGGGGUUCGCCGCUUCGGAUCCCGGGUGCAGACAUGGCACCACUUAGCAAGCCAUAUUGGGGUAGGCGUCCCACAUAUAAAGUAGAGGAAGAUGGGCACAGGUGUUGACUCGAGGCCAGUCUUCCUCAGCAAAAAGAGGAGGAUCGGCAGCAGAUGUUAGCUCAGGGCUAAUCUUCCUCAAAAAAAAAGAAAAGAAAAU